Molecule: unclassified non-coding RNA, 241 nt
Filed under: Hevea brasiliensis (rubber tree)
Lineage: Eukaryota; Viridiplantae; Streptophyta; Magnoliopsida; Malpighiales; Euphorbiaceae
Source: RNAcentral
CAAGAUUUAGGGCAAGAAAAACAAUGUUCUUAAUAGUGACUGAUGUUGCAGCUAGGGGCAUUGACAUCCCAUUGCUUGAUAAUGUUAUCAACUGGGACUUCCCUCCAAAACCUAAAAUCUUUGUACACCGAGUUGGUCGAGCUGCAAGGGCUGGUCGAACUGGUACAGCAUUUUCAUUUGUGACUUCUGAAGAUCUCCCUAACCUUUUAGAUCUUCAUCUUUUUCUCUCAAAACCUAUAAG